RNAcentral lists this ribosomal RNA (254 nucleotides) under uncultured bacterium. RNAcentral's name for it is "partial 16S ribosomal RNA". It matches the Rfam family "Bacterial small subunit ribosomal RNA", at positions 524 to 776 of the family's 1533-position model. The record is from RNAcentral.
UACGGGGGGGGCAAGCGUUGUUCGGAAUUACUGGGCGUAAAGGGCUCGUAGGCGGCCAACUAAGUCAGACGUGAAAUCCCUCGGCUUAACCGGGGAACUGCGUCUGAUACUGGAUGGCUUGAGGUUGGGAGAGGGAUGCGGAAUUCCAGGUGUAGCGGUGAAAUGCGUAGACAUCUGGAGGAACACCGGUGGCGAAGGCGGCAUCCUGGACCAAUUCUGACGCUGAGUGAGCGAAAGCCAGGGGAGCAAACGGG